GACGAACGCUGGCGGCGUGCUUAACACAUGCAAGUCGAAGGGGAAGGCCCGGCUGUUGUGUGGUGCUCGAGGGGCAAACGGGUGAGUAACACGUGAGUAACCUGCCCUGGACUGGGGGAUAACUGCAGGAAACUGGAGCUAAUACCGUAUAGUAGCGCCUCCGGCAGGGUGUGGGUUGGAAAGUUUCGGCGGUGGGGGAUGGACUCGCGGCUUAUCAGCUUGGUGGGGGGGUAGUUGCUUACCAAGGCGUUGACGGGUAGCCGGCCUGAGAGGGUGAGCGGCCCCAUUGGGACUGAGAUACGGCCCAGACACCUCCGGGAGGCAGCAGUGGGGAAUAUUGCACAAUGGGCGGACGACCGAUGCAGAAACGCCGCGUGCGGGAUGACGGCCUUCGGGUUGUAAAACGCUUUCGCAUGUGACGAAGCGUGAGUGACGGUAAUGGGUAAAGAAGCACCGGCUAACUACGUG
RNAcentral lists this ribosomal RNA (468 nucleotides) under uncultured bacterium. Its description in RNAcentral is "partial 16S ribosomal RNA". It matches the Rfam family "Bacterial small subunit ribosomal RNA", at positions 28 to 507 of the family's 1533-position model. The record is from RNAcentral.